CCCAGCAUGUAUGCUCUUGGUACGCCGCAACUCGCAAUGAGUUAUAGCGACGUCCCGGGAAUGCGAGGCAAAAUAUAUCUCCACCCAUCUUCCCUUAUAUAUAUUGUGUAAAUAUAUAUAAACAUAUUUACUUUCAUUACGCCUUUGGGUUUAAUGUAUAUAAAAAUUAAUUUUAUAUCCCAUUGACUCGCAUACAUGCUAGACUCCUUGGUCCGUGUUUCAAGACGGGUCCUAUAAUGGCCCAAAUACAUAUAUGUUGUUAACUGAUGACAAGAGUAGCCGUACAAGAACACUAUAAACUAACAAUAUUAUAUGUAUAGAAACGGCCCAUAAUGGAAUCCGUUUUCUAUAAUAUCAUCAUAUAAAUAUUUGUUAUAGGUUCGAACGCACCCUUACACUCGAAAAAGUUUUAUAAAAAAACUUUAAAGAACAUAAGCAGCGACUCAUCAUCGAUUAUCUUCCAUUGUAUAGAUGUCAGGACACCACAAGUCCGGGUUACCAACAUUUUAUAAAUAAAACACUCAUAACCACGGUCUGCCAUUGUGGACCUAAAUUGACACCCUUAAAUCAUAAUUGAAUAACAAUGGGUCACAACACAUCUACUAUGGGAGAAGUGCACACCUCCAUUUAUAAACACCAUUAUAUCAUAAGUAGCGGAGCAUCAUAUAAUACGGAAUAAAUUCUUUAAUAAAAAAAAAUCUAUCCGACAUAUAAUGUCUCAAUAAAUUAAUAUAUCACUACUAAAUGGUCAUAAACGGUAUGGUAAUUGAAUCUCCCAAUUCGAUACUUUGAGCAUUAUAGGUUUACCCUUGAACAGUUUCACGUACUCUUGAACUCUCUCUUCAAAGUUCUUUUCAACUUUCCCUCACGGUACUUGUUUGCUAUCGGUUUCGCAGUAAUAUUUAGCCUUAGAUGGAGUUUACCACCCACUUAGAGCUGCACUCUCAAGCAACCCGACUCUAAAGAGAAACCCACCUAUAUUUAUAAACGGUCACUACGGGCCUGGCACCCUCUAUGGGUAAAUGGCCCCCUUCAAGAAGGACUUGGACUCGCUUAUAGUAUAACAUAGGUUAAACGGGCUCUCCUAAACACUACAUUGCCCGACAAUUGUUUCCAAUUGUGGGCUUCAGUGCUGGGCUACUCCCUGUUCGCUCGCCGCUACUAAGGGAAUC
This 1172-nucleotide ribosomal RNA is filed under the name Planetes sp. KAO-2001. RNAcentral's name for it is "partial 28S ribosomal RNA". The record is from RNAcentral. Lineage: Eukaryota; Metazoa; Arthropoda; Insecta; Coleoptera; Carabidae.